CCCUUAGAUGUUCUGGGCCGCACGCGUGCUACACUGAGUGGAUCAGCGGGUCAGGUUGCGCGAAAGUGUUUCCUAAUCUUUAAAUCCGCUCGUGAUGGGGAUUGACGGUUGCAAUUUUCCGUCAUGAACGAGGAAUACCUUGUAAGCGCGGGUCAUCAUCCCGCGCUGAAUACGUCCCUGCCCUUUGUACACACCGCCCGUCGCUCCUACCGAUUGAAUGGUCCGGUGAAAUCUUCGGAUUGCUGAUCAAAUUCCAGCAAUGGAGCUUGAUUGCGAGAAGUUGAUUAAACCUUAUUAUUUAGAGGAAGGAGAAGUCGUAACA
RNAcentral lists this ribosomal RNA (322 nucleotides) under uncultured eukaryote. RNAcentral's name for it is "partial 18S ribosomal RNA". It matches the Rfam family "Eukaryotic small subunit ribosomal RNA", at positions 1470 to 1796 of the family's 1831-position model. The record is from RNAcentral.